Long non-coding RNA from Patella vulgata (common limpet), 822 nucleotides. RefSeq lists it as uncharacterized. The record is from RefSeq and is a predicted model, not a curated record. The transcript has 4 exons. NCBI's taxonomy places the organism in Eukaryota, Metazoa, Mollusca, Gastropoda, Patellidae.
AUACUGACUGAUAUAAUGUUUGUUUCACAAGGUCAUAUAAUGAUUUAAUGUAAAUGUAAGUACAGUCUUCAUCUAUAAAGUGAACAAUAUGUAUACCACUGUACAGCAUCAAGUUACAAUGUUGUAUAUAUCAACCUGUAUUGUAAUAUGUAUAUAUCAUGUACAAGGUACACCAACAAUAGAAACAGUACCAUCUACCGUAACACAAGGUGAAUCAGCUUCUAUAAGAUGUACUAAUUUAGAGUUCGUUAGCAUACUGAAAUAUAACACGGCUGCUGUUGGUGGCUAUGCUACUAUAACCAACUGUUUUCUGGACGAAACUAGUUGUGCAUUAGCACUGAGCAAUCAAAAUCAACAAUAUAUUGGAAUAUAUACCAUCAGUCAAACUAAUACCAGUGUAUCUGUUAAUAUAGCUAAUGUAUCUAGAGAUAGAGAUGGUGGAAUGUGGAGAUGUGAAGAUCUGCCUGGUACAGUUGAUACCAUAGUUAUAGAUGUUAAAGUACCUGUGCCAAAUGUUACUAUCUUUAGUAACAAUAUUUUAAUAUUUAGUGAUGGUUUAAAUACAGAUAUCAUCUGUAAAUCUGGAGUAUCGUAUCCUCAUGCUACUAUCACGUGGUCUAUUAAUGGCAGGAAUAAUGUAGGAAGUGGAACUACAAGUAAUAACUCUGAUGGAACUACUACCAGUAUAUUACAGUAUACAGCUGAUAAAUCUGAUCAUGAUAAAAUACUACAAUGUGCAGCUACUAAUGGUUAUGGUACAUCUAAAACAGAUUCUAUAACAUUGAAUAUUACAUGUUGUGGGGGUCGCUUGAUUUAUUUCGG